Molecule: long non-coding RNA, 216 nt
Filed under: Vitis vinifera (wine grape)
Lineage: Eukaryota; Viridiplantae; Streptophyta; Magnoliopsida; Vitales; Vitaceae
Description: long non-coding RNA (VVIN_LNC001833)
Source: RNAcentral
UAUGCCUUACCUAUUCAUUUUGUUUUUAUUUUCUUUCUAGCCAAACAACCUCUGAGGAUGUUUUCUCAAAGGAUGAGUGGCUAGGUUUUUCGUUUCUUGGACUAAAGGAAGCUAGGUAAGGGAUUCAGAUACAAAUGUGAGAGUUUUCCUUGUUUUAAAUGAGGAGAGUUGUUACUAGUUAAUGGUUUUUAUUUUUUAAUUUAACUUAAAAUCCCU